This is a long non-coding RNA of Vigna angularis (adzuki bean), 565 nucleotides long. RefSeq lists it as uncharacterized. Lineage: Eukaryota; Viridiplantae; Streptophyta; Magnoliopsida; Fabales; Fabaceae. The record is from RefSeq and is a predicted model, not a curated record. The transcript is spliced from 4 exons.
UUGAGAGGCUCAACAAAUUCAUGGUUCUGCUUUGUGUACUGCUUCAAAGUUAAAUGAACUGGAUUUGGGGCUCGACAUGUAAAGGAAUAUAGACUUCGGCCAGGUAGAGGCUCCGACGUGUAAAGUCUUUUUAUUACACCAAACCGCGCACUUGAGGCAGUUACGCGCAUUGUUCAUUAUCUUCCUCCUUGCGAUUUCUCUUUGUGGUCAUUGCAUUUCAGUUCUACGCGUGUUCUUGGGCGGCCAUUUUGCGCAUUUUUGGACAACGAUUUUGUGUGUUUUUGGACGGUCCACUCCUCUAUUUCCCUCCACUACGUUUUUAACCUGAUAAGAAGUGGUCGGCGAGCUUGCAACCAUGGAUCUACACACUCUCACGGGAGGCUUGCUCCUUCCCGUUCUCAAAUGUCAUUUGCCAUUACUCAUUAGAGAAGGCUAAAGACAUCAUACUCUUUGAAGUCUCUGAUUGAAAAUCACUAUGAUCAAUAAUUUCAUUCCAUAACGUUAUGGAAGUUGCUUGUACAACAUUGCGUUUUUAGCACGAAUGGAAAGUUGUUUGUCAAUCAUC